GGUCAGCUCCGGUAGAAACACUUA
RNAcentral lists this non-coding RNA (24 nucleotides) under Arabidopsis thaliana (thale cress). The record is from RNAcentral. Lineage: Eukaryota; Viridiplantae; Streptophyta; Magnoliopsida; Brassicales; Brassicaceae.